GCAUUGGUUGUUCAGUGGUAGAAUUCUCGCCUGACACGCAGGAGACCAGGGUCCGAUUCCUGGCCAAUCCU
Danio rerio (zebrafish) is the source of this 71-nucleotide non-coding RNA. Lineage: Eukaryota; Metazoa; Chordata; Actinopteri; Cypriniformes; Danionidae. The record is from Rfam.